CCUACGGGGGGCUGCAGUAAGGAAUAUUGGUCAAUGGGCGGGAGCCUGAACCAGCCAUGCCGCGUGCAGGAAGACGGCCUUAUGGGUUGUAAACUGCUUUUAUCGGGGAAUAAAACUUUCUACGCGUAGAGAGCUGAAGGUACCCGAAGAAUAAGCAUCGGCUAACUCCGUGCCAGCAGCCGCGGUAAUACGGAGGAUGCAAGCGUUAUCCGGAUUCAUUGGGUUGAAAGGGUACUGGGGAGGCUGGGUUGAAAUUCUAGUGCUUAACAUUAGACCUGCCAGUGAUACUGUCAGUCUAGAGUAUAGUUGGAGUGGGCGGAAUGUGUCAUGUAGCGGUGAAAUGCUUAGAUAUGACACAGAACACCGAUCGCGAAGGCAGCUCACUAAGCUAAAACUGACGCUCAUGCACGAAAGCGUGGGGAUCAAACAGGAUUAGAUACCCCAGUAGUC
RNAcentral lists this ribosomal RNA (450 nucleotides) under uncultured bacterium. RNAcentral's name for it is "partial 16S ribosomal RNA". It matches the Rfam family "Bacterial small subunit ribosomal RNA", at positions 338 to 795 of the family's 1533-position model. The record is from RNAcentral.